RNAcentral lists this long non-coding RNA (219 nucleotides) under Physcomitrium patens. Its description in RNAcentral is "long non-coding RNA (PPAT_LNC007953)". Lineage: Eukaryota; Viridiplantae; Streptophyta; Bryopsida; Funariales; Funariaceae. The record is from RNAcentral.
UUUCAUAAAAGAUAUAGGCCUUAAAAUCAUUAUUCCAAUCGCCCUUUUCUAUCUUCAAAAGAUGCCAUAAAACUCUUCAUAUUCUCAAAAGAAUAAAAGUAUGUCUUAAAUUAAUAUCUUAAUUUCAAAUGGCUAUAUCUUCUUCACCCUAAUUCCAAAUUUUCUAAUUUUUAUAUACAAAUUGUAGUUCAAAUCCAAAACUUUACAAUCCUAUCUUUU